This 500-nucleotide ribosomal RNA is filed under the name uncultured bacterium. RNAcentral describes it as "bacterial SSU rRNA". It matches the Rfam family "Bacterial small subunit ribosomal RNA", at positions 29 to 518 of the family's 1533-position model. The record is from RNAcentral.
AUGAACGCUAGCUACAGGCUUAACACAUGCAAGUCGAGGGGCAGCAGGGCAAUAGCUUGCUAUUGCUGCUGGCGACCGGCGCACGGGUGAGUAACGCGUAUCCAACCUACCCCGCGGUCAGGGACAGCCCGGCGAAAGUCGGAUUAAUACCUGAUGCAGUCAGAAGAGGGCAUCUGAUUUUGACGAAAGAUUGAUCGCCUCGGGAUGGGGGAUGCGUAGGAUUAGGCAGGCGGCGGGGUAACGGCCCACCGCGCCGACGAUCCUUAGGGGUCUGAGAGGAAGGUCCCCCACACUGGUACUGAGACACGGACCAGACUCCUACGGGAGGCAGCAGUGAGGAAUAUUGGUCAAUGGGCGUGAGCCUGAACCAGCCAAGUAGCGUGCAGGACGACGGCCCUAUGGGUUGUAAACUGCUUUUAUGCGGGGAUAAAGUGCGGCACGUGUGCCGUUUUGUAGGUACCGCAUGAAUAAGGACCGGCUAAUUCCGUGCCAGCCGCUGC